GACGAACGCUGGCGGCGUGCUUAACACAUGCAAGUCGAACGGAAAGGCCUGCUUUCCCUUGUGGAUUGCGGGUACUCGAGUGGCGAACGGGUGAGUAACACGUGAGUGAUCUGCCCCCAACUUGGGUAUAAGCCUGGGAAACUGGGUCUAAUUCCCGAUAGGACUGCAGGGUGGUGCCUGUGGUGGAAAACGAUUUUCUAGUGGUUGGGGAUGAGCUCGCGGCCUAUCAGCUUGUUGGUGGGGUAAUGGCCUACCAAGGCGGCGACGGGUAGCCGGCCUGAGAGGGUGGACGGCCACAUUGGGUCUGAGAUACGGCCCAGACUCCUACGGGAGGCAGCAGUGGGGAAUAUUGCACAAUGGGCGGAAGCCUGAUGCAGCGACGCCGCGUGGGGGAUGACGGCCUUCGGGUUGUAAACUCCUUUCGACCGCGAGGAAGCCACCUGGUUGGAAGGGUGGUGACGGUAGUGGUAGAAGAAGCACCGGCUAACUACGUG
RNAcentral lists this ribosomal RNA (494 nucleotides) under uncultured bacterium. Its description in RNAcentral is "partial 16S ribosomal RNA". It matches the Rfam family "Bacterial small subunit ribosomal RNA", at positions 28 to 507 of the family's 1533-position model. The record is from RNAcentral.